This 480-nucleotide ribosomal RNA is filed under the name uncultured bacterium. RNAcentral's name for it is "partial 16S ribosomal RNA". It matches the Rfam family "Bacterial small subunit ribosomal RNA", at positions 28 to 523 of the family's 1533-position model. The record is from RNAcentral.
GACGAACGCUGGCGGCGUGCCUAACACAUGCAAGUCGAGCGAGUGAAUCUCCUUCGGGAGUGAAACUAGCGGCGGACGGGUGAGUAACACGUGGGCAACCUGCCUCAUAGAGGGGAAUAGCCUUUCGAAAGGAAGAUUAAUACCGCAUAAGAUUGUAGCUUCGCAUGAAGUAGCAAUUAAAGGAGUAAUCCGCUAUGAGAUGGGCCCGCGGCGCAUUAGCUAGUUGGUGAGGUAACGGCUCACCAAGGCGACGAUGCGUAGCCGACCUGAGAGGGUGGGCGGCCACAGUGGGACUGGGACACGACCCAGACGCCUACUGGAGGCAGAAGUGGGGAAUAUUGCACAAUGGGGGAAACCCUGAUGCAGCAACGCCGCGUGAGUGAUGACGGCCUUCGGGUUGUAAAGCUCUGUCUUCAGGGACGAUAAUGACGGUACCUGAGGAGGAAGCCACGGCUAACUACGUGCCAGCCGCCGCGGUAA